Molecule: long non-coding RNA, 700 nt
Filed under: Rattus norvegicus (Norway rat)
Lineage: Eukaryota; Metazoa; Chordata; Mammalia; Rodentia; Muridae
Description: long non-coding RNA NONRATT024388
Source: RNAcentral
CACACAUCAGAUGCUGCCAGUACAAGCCGGGGUCUGUGCUCCCAUGCCCUUAGGAGGCAGAGGCCGAGAGUGUUGGGAGGUCAAGGUCAUCUUCAACUACCAAGCAAGUUUGAGGCCAGCCAAGGCUCCAUGAGAUCCUUCCUCAAAACACCAAACUAAUAAACCUAGCUUCUCCUUUAUUGCUUUUGAGGUUCCAGAAAAUUAUAAGGAAUUGCUUGCUGGGGCUGCUCCCUCAAAAUAGUGAGGCAGUCAUAUAAUCAUUAUGUGAUUUAUUUUUACAUGAUUUUCUGAAACUACAAGACAUGGUUAAAUGCUCAUUUUUAUGUGUCUGCAGGUUGGUAUCAUGAGAGACCGUCUGGUUCAGUUCCUUACUAAGGUGCAGUUUGCUGUGACUGUACUUUUGGCAUCAUGGACGGAGAAGAAGCAGCAUAGAAAACUGACGACAACUUUGUGUGUUCUCAACGCCAUAUUUGCUCCCCUUGUGCUGAUUAUUAUAGUUGUCUCAACAGUGCUGUCCUCUCCUCUACUGCCUCUCUUCACACUGCCUGUUUUCUUGGUGGGGUUCCCUCGUCCAGUUCAGAGCUGGCCAGGAGCAGUGGGCACUGCAGCUUGUGUGUGCACAGACACGGUGUUCUACCAGCAGAUGGUCCCCAGGCUGACUUCAGCACUGCAGACUGCAAUGGCCGCUGGAAGUUUAGGU